GACGAACGCUGGCGGCGUGCCUAAUAAAUGCAAGUAGAACGCUGAAGGAGGAGUUUGCUUCUCUGGAUGAGUUGCGAACGGGUGAGUAACGCGUAGGUAACCUGCCUGGUAGCGGGGGAUAACUAUUGGAAACGAUAGCUAAUACCGCAUAAUAGUAGAUGUUGCAUGACAUUUGCUUAAAAGGUGCAAUUGCAUCACUACCAGAUGGACCUGCGUUGUAUUAGCUAGUUGGUGGGGUAACGGCUCACCAAGGCGACGAUACAUAGCCGACCUGAGAGGGUGAUCGGCCACACUUGGACUGAGACACGGCCCAGACUCCUACGGGAGGCAGCAGUAGGGAAACUUCGGCAAUGGACGGAAGUCUGACCGAGCAACGCCGCGUGAGGGAAGAAGGUUUUCGGAUCGUAAAGGUCUGUUGUAAGAGAAGAACGAGUGUGAGAGUGGAAAGUUCACACUGUGACGGUAUCUUAACAGAAAGGGACGGCUAACUACGUG
Molecule: ribosomal RNA, 495 nt
Filed under: uncultured bacterium
Lineage: Bacteria
Description: partial 16S ribosomal RNA
Rfam family: Bacterial small subunit ribosomal RNA
Source: RNAcentral